This 655-nucleotide non-coding RNA is filed under the name Paenibacillus rhizosphaerae. RNAcentral describes it as "Bacterial large subunit ribosomal RNA". It matches the Rfam family "Bacterial large subunit ribosomal RNA", at positions 2263 to 2925 of the family's 2925-position model. The record is from Rfam by way of RNAcentral. Lineage: Bacteria; Bacillati; Bacillota; Bacilli; Caryophanales; Paenibacillaceae.
AGGCAGUUUGACUGGGGCGGUCGCCUCCUAAAGAGUAACGGAGGCGCCCCAAGGUUCCCUCAGAAUGGUUGGAAAUCAUUCGAAGAGUGCAAAGGCAGAAGGGAGCUUGACUGCGAGACCUACAAGUCGAGCAGGGACGAAAGUCGGGCUUAGUGAUCCGGUGGUACCGCAUGGAAGGGCCAUCGCUCAACGGAUAAAAGCUACCCUGGGGAUAACAGGCUUAUCUCCCCCAAGAGUCCACAUCGACGGGGAGGUUUGGCACCUCGAUGUCGGCUCAUCGCAUCCUGGGGCUGAAGUAGGUCCCAAGGGUUGGGCUGUUCGCCCAUUAAAGCGGUACGCGAGCUGGGUUCAGAACGUCGUGAGACAGUUCGGUCCCUAUCUGUCGUGGGCGUAGGAAAUUUGAGAGGAGCUGUCCUUAGUACGAGAGGACCGGGAUGGACGUACCGCUGGUGCACCAGUUGUUCCGCCAGGAGCAUGGCUGGGUAGCUACGUACGGACGGGAUAAGCGCUGAAAGCAUCUAAGCGUGAAGCCCCCCUCAAGAUGAGAUUUCCCAGUAUGUAAGACCCCUUGUAGACGACGAGGUAGAUAGGUUGGAGGUGGAAGUGCAGCAAUGCAUGGAGCUGACCAAUACUAAUCGGUCGAGGGCUUAUCCAA